Molecule: long non-coding RNA, 1209 nt
Filed under: Calidris pugnax (ruff)
Lineage: Eukaryota; Metazoa; Chordata; Aves; Charadriiformes; Scolopacidae
Description: lncRNA (ENSCPUG00000011682.1)
Source: RNAcentral
AAAAAAAAAAAAAAACCCACCCAAACCCAAAAACUUUCACGAAAACUCCCAAUCCCACGCCUAAGCCUUCCCUCCUCAGACCCUCAGACCCGGUGGGUCGGGCGGUCACUGUGUCAGUUUAUGGCCGGGGAGUUGGAGCUGGAAAAAAAAAAUUAAAAAACGAAUUUGCGGGUUCCUCGUGUCCUUUGGGCACCGGUGAGCUCGGGCUGAGAGCUGGACGGCCGGCCGGGAGCGGGAGGCACCGGGGGAGAGACGGAUCCCCUAACUUUUAUGAAUGAAAGACACAACGAAAGGAGAAUUAAGCCUCUGGAGAGAAGAUGCCCCGAAGGGAACGAUGGGCAGAAAGGAGAAGAGACCGCCGCCCAAAGCGGGCUCAGGUUGAGGUGGCCCGGCCGGGCUCGCCGGGUCCCCGACGGUGGGUCCCGGCCCCUUUGCCCGCCCUCCGCUAGUGCAUCCUCCUCGGCUGGGGUGAGCGCACAACCCCGCUAUUGCUUCCACAUGUUUCUCCAGGAAAUCAUCGGAGUCAGAUCUAGCGAGCAGCCCCUGGUCGGAAUGCUAACAGGAUACCGUAAUGCUUGUGAAUAAACAACAGGCUCCCAGUGAGUCAAAAGCAUGGCCCAAAAAAAAAAAAAAAACAAAAAAAAAACCACCCAAAAAACGGCGACAAACAAACAACACCCCCCAACAACAACAACAAAAUAACCCAGGAAAAAAAAAAAACCAACCGAAAAAAACACUGCACCCUGGAACUAUCUGCCUGGGAGAGGAGGGGCGAGCGCUUCCAGCACCCCUUAAUUUGGGGAAGGAAAAGUCUUAGCCUGACUUGGGCGGGAGCUGCAGAUUUAAAGCCCCGCGAAGUUGCGGGGGUUCAGACCGGCGGCAAACGACCGCCCGAGAGCUCCGAGGGGAUCCCGCCCCGGCCCCGCCGGGAUUUACCGUGUCCGGUUUAACGGUGGAGGUGAUUCCUGGCGAAGUAACCGUCAGGAUGGGAUGUAAUGCGAGAGUCACUCUUGCAAAAAAAAAAAAAAAAGAAAAAAAAAAGGAGCAAAAGGAGAGGAGAGGAGGCGCCUUCUGGUUGCAAUUACCUGCCUCAUUUGAAUAAUGCCUUUGUCAUGAUCAUUAUCGAGAGGUCGUUAACGGCUUCCACGUGGGAUCUCACAAGACCCAGCGAAAAAUAAAAAUUGCCAACCGGGGGACUGGUAAAGCUGG